CUAAUAUUAAAUGUGCUCAGGUUUAUCCCUUUUCCGUUUCUGGAGGCAUCUCUCAUUGUACUGAGCACCAGGUUUAAAGGUAUGGAUAAGCACCACCCACGAUGAAAGCAUCAAUGAAGAUACUGCUUUGGAGGGAUUUAGAUUGUAGAGAAGAAAAGAGGUUUUGAGAGCUCAUUACUGGAUCAUUGAACUGAUGUGCUGUGACCAGGUCAAGAAGCAGAUACAUCAGUGUUUAGAGGAGAGUCCACUGGUCAGGCCUGUAUUGGGUACAAAUCACCAGCAAGACUUAGCCACAGUCUGGAAUCCAGCAGCGGGAGGAGAAAAUGACAGACUCUGGGCAAGACUCAGCCAGCAAGGAAAAGGAAGUCAUGGGAGUCUCCAGGAUGUUGUGCUCAGCCUGGCCCAGUUUUGCCCACCUCCCUUUGACUAAAAAGGAGAAAGAACACUGCCAAUUUGGAUCCAUAUUGUGACCUACAUGAACAUGCUUUACUUUGAAGCCAGUUUCAUUGGCACCUAAGUCAUUAGCUGUGAUGAUUGGCUUCUAAAUUAAAGGCAGCUCUCUCAGUGGUAGAACUUCCUAAGGUUGUGGCCACUUCAGUGACAGACCCAUCCCUUGUGUCAUCCCCUGAAUCCAUGUGGUAAAGGAGACAGAAAGAGGUUGUUCUCAAAAUGUUGAGUUGAGUCCAACUCCAAAUGAGGCAUUAUUUCCCAUAUAGCUCUCCUUGUACUCUUAGGUGGAAAAUCCCAAACGAGGAGGUGUUUAUUUCGGUGUCCAGAUCACACCUUCCCACAGAGUGGGAAUCAAGUAGUGUUUUACAGCAGUUGUGAAGCCCUGAGCUCCCACCUGGAAUCAUACCCUAGCAGUGAGCUGUGGGGUCUAAAGCAAGUUCCCUUAAUCUCGUCUUGGCUUUUCCAUCUAUACCUGUGGGUCUCACAGGGUUGUGAGAACUACAUGAAAUAUCAUAUAUCUGGUAAACCCUAUUGAUGCUUACAUAGUGCCCAUUGUCCCCAUCCUAUUUGCCUCUAAAACCCAAUUUUUCUUUCUUUUUAAAAAAAUAUAAUUUAUUGUCAAAUUGAUUUCCACACAACACCCAGUGCUCAUCCCAACAAGUGCCCUCCUCAAUGCUCAUUACCCACUUUCUCCCUCCCCUACCCCAUUAACUUUCAAUCUGUUCUCAGUAUUUGAGAGUCUGUUUUGUAGAACCCAAAUUUUCUUAAGUAUUAAUCCCUCUUUCAUAUGUUGUGGGGUAAAUCCUGAGUACACCAAUUGUGGUAGCAGUCUUUGCCAGUGAUUGGUUUAAGAUGGGUUAUGUAACCCAAUGUUAGCUAAUAAGAUAUGAAGAAUAGUCUUCUAGAGGGAUAAUGCAAAAGAUGCUUUCUGCUAGAUGAUGUCAUUUUUGUAACUGCAACUGUCUUGUACCAGGGACAGAGCUGGUUUGGCAACAAUGCUAACACAUCGGGGAUGUCAAAGAAAUAAUAUGAGAAGAAUUUGGGUCUUUGAUGACAUCAAUGAGAGUUAAAUGAAUCAAUGCUGAAGCUACUUUACCUUGGGACUUUUUGUUAUGUAAGAUAGUAUUUUUCCUCCACCAUUCAAGCAAUUUUGAGUUGAGUUUUCUAAUACCUGCAGUCAAAGGCAUGCUAACUGAUGCAGUAUGUAAAUUGAUGCAAUAUGUGUGAUCUGUGAAAUUUUGUAGUAGGAGUUUCAGGGGGAAGAUACUGAGAAUGUGGAGACUAAUUUGGAUUAUAUGGAAUAUUAAUUUCCUUUUGCUCUUAUAACAAAUUAUUAUAAAUUUAGUAGUUUAAAGUUUAUUUAUUUAUUUAGAGAGUGAGAGAGAGAAUGAGACAGAGAAAAAGAGCAUGAGCAGGAGAGGGGCAGAGAGACAGGCUCCACUGUCAGCCUGUUGUCUGUGUCCCAUGUGGCGCUCUAACUCACUAACUGCAAGAUCAUGACUGGAGCUGAAAUCAAGAGUCAAAUGCUUAACCAACUGAACCACCCAGGUGCCCCAUAAAUUUAGUGGUUUAAAACAACACAAACUUAUCAUCUUAUAGUUCUGAAGUCUAUAUUAUCUUAUAGUUCUAGAAAAUGGUUCUGAAGUCUUGAAUGGCUUGCCUUGGACUAAAAUCAAGGUGUUAAUAGGGCUGUGCUCCUUCUGGGGGCUCUGGGGGAGAACAUCUUUCCUUGUCUAGCUUCUAGAGGGCAGCUUCAUUUCUUGGUUUGGGGUCUCUGUUUCCAUCUUCAAAGCUGGCACUGUAGCAUCUUCAAACCUUUGUCUGCUUCUGUUGUCACAUAGGGAGUUAGGCAUAGAGUUGGAGCGUAGUAAGAAACCUUUCAGUCCUAUGGGGGAACAGGGUCGCUUGGAGUUCAGUGUUCUAUCUGUCAUUCAGCUUGCCUUCUGCCCCCAAUCCCUUUCUACUGUGUUUUGGAAGAAACACUUGCAAUUAUGAUCCAUUGAAAACUUUGGAAGACCCCAGGAGCACGUAGGAGAGCUGCUUCGGGGGCCUUGGUAUUAGGCCCGUGGCCUAUAGUGGACACAUCUUACUGUGGCAGACGCGCAGGGUCAUGUUGCCAUGUGGAAAGCACCAUUGAUUUAGCAUCAUCAGCAGAAUCUAAAACAGCUUUGGCCCAACAGGGUGGCUUUAGGGCACUGUAGUAUUGGCUGAAUGACUUUGAGGACCUCAGUGGGACUAUAACACCAGAUGCAGCCACAUGACACUGUUAGGGUCUCUCUACCCCUGGAGGUCUUGGUAGUAGUCAUUACCACAGGGUCACUGAGAGGGCUGAGCACCUGAGCACACACAAGACAGCCCCCCUCGCUCCUGAAAACAAUGGGAGAGAAUCUGAGGUGAGCUGGAGGGGCCACAAUAGUCUGAAGGAAAAAAAAUCAGAGAAAUCAACUUCAUUGUUAAUGUGAUCUCAUUUUUACUGUUUAGACCAGGCUUUAGGAAACACAAGUCAUGCCUAAAAAAGAUGUAUAUGCUAAAUAUAGAUAAUAUUUACUCACAAAUAACAAUGUAAGUAUAUUAUAUAUACAUAUAUAUUAACAUCAAUAUGGGCACACAAGCAAUAUUAAUAUAAUAAACAUAUAUGCCUCUAUAUACAUAUGCCUACACAUGUAUGCUACACAUAUACAUAAACAAAAGUCAACUAAUGAAUGGAAUUUUUACUAUUAAAAAGAUGAUUGGUUCAUAUGAAGAAAAAUGUGAAAACAUUAAAGGUCACUAAAAAGCAGCCAAGGGGCCAACUUAAUUUGAAUGUAAUCUGUUAUCAGGCUAACACAAUGUCCACUGGGCUUGUGAAAGUGUGGUAAACGCAUUAAAAACACUCUAAGACAGUCAGGGUUGUAAUGUGUUAUAUGGGUUUUUGUUUUGUUUUGUUUUGUUUUUUUUGAGCAGGAAGGGAUGGAGGAAAAAUAGUGAAAACUACCUUGGAUACAAGAAUUAAUUUUGUUUAUUCACAGUUAAAGCUAAUAUUCUUAUUUAAAAAAAGGUUUAUUCAUUUAUUCUGAGAGAGAGAGGGAGGGAGAGCCAGAGAGAGGGAGAGACAAUCCCAAGCAGACUCUGUACUGUCAGUGCAGAACCCAAUGUGGGGCUCGAUCUCACGACCUAUGCUGCAAUCAAGAGUCGGAAGCUUAACUGACUGAGCCACCCAGUUGCCUCUAAAGCUAACAUUCUUGAUGUUUCUAAUUGUUUUUUUGAAUCUGAAGAGAGAUAAAGAAAUGAUUAUUUGUAGAGAAGGUGUUUCCUGACAGUAUUAUCUGGUUUUCUUAUGAAGAAACAAAAUUUAAUAGGACCUUUAAUGUCAAUAUUUGCAGGAUACCAAGAAUGGUAUU
Molecule: long non-coding RNA, 3830 nt
Organism: Suricata suricatta (meerkat)
Lineage: Eukaryota; Metazoa; Chordata; Mammalia; Carnivora; Herpestidae
Source: Ensembl